AGAAUGACGGGGGCCCGCACAAGCGGCGGAGCAUGCGGAUUAAUUCGAUGCAACGCGAAGAACCUUACCAAGGCUUGACAUUUACGAGAACGCUGCAGAAAUGUAGAACUCUUUGGACACUCGUAAACAGGUGGUGCAUGGUUGUCGUCAGCUCGUGUCGUGAGAUGUUGGGUUAAGUCCCGCAACGAGCGCAACCCUCGUUCUAUGUGCCAGCGCGUA
RNAcentral lists this ribosomal RNA (219 nucleotides) under uncultured Actinomycetes bacterium. RNAcentral describes it as "uncultured actinobacterium partial 16S ribosomal RNA". It matches the Rfam family "Bacterial small subunit ribosomal RNA", at positions 909 to 1127 of the family's 1533-position model. The record is from RNAcentral. RNAcentral also lists the same sequence under 1 other name. Lineage: Bacteria; Bacillati; Actinomycetota; Actinomycetes.